GUACGGGAGGCAGCAGUGGGGAAUAUUGGGCAAUGGGCGCAAGCCUGACCCAGCCAUGCCGCGUGAGUGAUGAAGGCCUUCGGGUCGUAAAGCUCUGUGGGGAGGGAAGAAACCGGACGUGGAUAAUACCCACGGCUCUUGACGGUACCUCCUUAGCAAGCACCGGCUAACUCCGUGCCAGCAGCCGCGGUAAUACGGAGGGUGCAAACGUUGCUCGGAAUCAUUGGGCGUAAAGCGCACGUAGGCGGCCUGUUAAGUCGGGUGUGAAAGCCCUGGGCUCAACCCAGGAAGUGCACUCGAAACUGGCGGGCUUGAAUAUGGAAGAGGGUCGCGGAAUUCCCGGUGUAGAGGUGAAAUUCGUAGAUAUCGGGAGGAACACCAGUGGCGAAGGCGGCGACCUGGGCCAAUAUUGACGCUGAGGUGCGAAAGCGUGGGGAGCAAACAGGAUUAGAUACCCCGGU
RNAcentral lists this ribosomal RNA (461 nucleotides) under uncultured bacterium. RNAcentral's name for it is "bacterial SSU rRNA". It matches the Rfam family "Bacterial small subunit ribosomal RNA", at positions 339 to 791 of the family's 1533-position model. The record is from RNAcentral.